Molecule: long non-coding RNA, 262 nt
Filed under: Solanum tuberosum (potato)
Lineage: Eukaryota; Viridiplantae; Streptophyta; Magnoliopsida; Solanales; Solanaceae
Description: long non-coding RNA (STUB_LNC011662)
Source: RNAcentral
UGUCUUUUGAGAUAUAUGUAAAUCAUUUCAAGCUUGUGGAUGCUUUCAUGGACAUGGAAUUGUUGAGCUGUUACAUUAAUCCUAGAUUGCUGAUAACACACUUGGUUUUUGCCACUUUGAAUUUUCUCUGAACAAAAGAAACAGAAGAUCAGAAAUUUGCUGUGAGGCUUCUAGAUUUGUGUUCAAAUUACAAUUUCCCCUGUUAAAAUAGGCUUUUCCCACAUCAAGAUGUGCACAUUACUUGUUUAAUUUUCCGAACAUG